GAGUCUAUUUAAUUUAAACAAAGACAACAGUAGGUACUGAUAUGAUAUGGUUUUUGCCCAGUACAUUCAAUGUCAGAGUGAAGAAAUUCAAUGAAGUUAAAUAAAUGGCACAGUAACUAUGAAUCUCUUAAGGUAGCCAACGCUUCGUCAUCUAAUCAGAGACAUGUAUGAAUUCAUGACCAAGAUUC
RNAcentral lists this non-coding RNA (188 nucleotides) under Ovis aries (sheep). Its description in RNAcentral is "Eukaryotic large subunit ribosomal RNA". It matches the Rfam family "Eukaryotic large subunit ribosomal RNA", at positions 2136 to 2335 of the family's 3401-position model. Lineage: Eukaryota; Metazoa; Chordata; Mammalia; Artiodactyla; Bovidae. The record is from Rfam by way of RNAcentral.